CAGAGGUACACGGUAAUAAAGCCUCAAAAUCUGCCUCUGUGAUUCCCUCACUUACUGUCACACACAACUUUUGUGCAUAUAUACGACAAGCAAACACACAAAUAAACAGAGCUUGCUCUUUGCAUAUCUCGGGGACUCCAAGCGCUGAGGGUGUGCAGUUUUCUUUUUUUCCUUCAGCUUGUGCAUUAGUUUCUUUUUUUUUCUAGCUUCACUAGUUUUCCCCCUUUUUGAGGUUUCACAUGAGAGACUUUUUUUUUUUGGAAGUCAUGGUAUAUUUUCCUUCACCAUUAGGUCUCUUCGUUCCCCUUUGCACUAGCACUUUCAUGUGAAAUGGCACAUCACACUGAUAAGUCGCGUCAACACUACGCCAAGAUAAGCGCUCUUGCUCUUGAUAACUCAAGUCAAUAUGAGGAGCAGUGGGCGAGAAUGCAAUCAGUUGACCUCAAUUACUUGCAACAGAAGUCAAACGAAUGUAUUGAGAAUCGGCAUGCACCAUCUAGCUUGUACCCCACCUACGCGUGCCGCCAGGCUACCAUGGCCGCUCCUCAAGAAAGUUACUUUACGCGUUUUGUGCCGAACGGAUCGUCGCCUGCACGAAGAAGCGAACUCGCCAGCCGAAUCGUCGCGCAGAGAAACUACUUCUCCCACUGCAGGAAGCCCCUGGAGUGUGGCGGGGCACUUUCUCUACAGCAACUUUCCCAGUUCCCUUCGGCCGCGUCAUCACAGAAGGGAGGCAGUGCUUCCGUGUUUUUCGAUGAAGAGCGUUUCGAUGAGAUCCAUGUAGUCUUCAUCAACGGUGAGCCACAUCGAGUAAGUGGGGGUCACCAGAGCGAACGUACGCUCUACGGGUUAGACUCUCCAACCGCUGCCAUUCGAGAUGCAGUGGCAGCCGCUGCUGCAAACCAAGCCGAAAAAUCGAAUGCCGUAUCUUCCUCAGGAGGACUACAAAAAAGACCGCAUGGAUCCCAGCAGCAGAGUUCUACCACCAGUCAUGUUGCAGAACCCAAGAGGCAAAUAGCUGGUUGCAAUGGCACAUGUAAAAAACAGCACGGAAAAGGUAGUACUUCCCCUGACAUGUACCGCGACUACCUUUCUCCAUCUGGAAGGCUCUACCGCGUUUUCCGUCUCCAAAAGCGGCACCUUCCACCCAUCGGGGUGAGUGAGAAAGCCAAGGGCUUCUCAUCCCAUGCGAAAGGUGCGAAAGAGGCAUCACGAACCAAAAAGCCAAGGAAUCGCGAGCCAGCUGAAUAUGACCGUGACAUCGACGGCAGGCACGAGCUGAGGGAAGAGCGAGUAGCAGCAGACCACCGCAGCGGCGGGAGGAAGCUGGUAAAAGAUGACAAGGCAGUGCUACCUGUGUGGAAAAGGCGCAUAGCAAAGCCGCACAAGUCUCACGAAGCUUCAAAAAAUGUGCGAGGCAAACGCAAUGGACGGCGGCAGCUCGAUGCUGCCUCUCAUCAGAACAGCUGCGCCACAAAGCAUAAAUGCAGACACUGCCAACGUAAUUUGAGCUCAACAUCUCCGAGAAAUGCGUCAUCUGAGUCGUCCUCGUCGUGGCUGCUUUCUCCCUCAGCGAGCCCAUCUGAAGAUAUCGCGGACACGCGCACAGGCGAUCGUGAUUGUGAUGGUGCUUCAUCAUGCAGGGAGCGCUGCCAGCGUUCCCAUGACCAUCAUGGUGCGUCCCAGAACAACAGAGCAGAUCGCCGGCUUCCACCAGUCGGAGGGGACCAGUGGCACUGUCCAGUGGCCCCUCCGCCUUCGCAUCCCCCCCGUCGCCCGCGUGAUGCGCAUAGGCGCAGAAGUCAACACCGCGAAGGCGGGAGACACGUCACGAAACGAAGAGGAAGUCGUAGCGACGUUCUUUCCGACUCGAGUGAGCUAUCGUCAUCGCUUUCUGACUCUGCCGUUUGUGUUUGGUCCUCUUUGUCUAGUAGCAUCGAUAGGGCGAGUGACAUGUCCGACUGUGUGGUGAUGGAUAAGCCGCAGCGGAGCCCAUCGGAGGAGCACUGGCAGCAGAGGGGCACUGCACGGCGCAGACGCGCGGGAAGUGCAUCACCGCUCAUUUCGGAGGGCGAUGACAAGGAUCAAGAGCUGUUUGAAUGCGCAAACAGCUGCUUGAGUGACAGAGACCCGGAGUGGGAGGAUGCGGACUCUACUUCAUCUCCCUCCUCGUCCACGUCGCCGUCAUCUUCGGAGCUGAGUUCACCUUCAACGUGGAGGGCUGAGGUGCGGAGGCCGCGAGGCCGCGACGGUCGCCGACGUCAUCGCCGCAGCGCUCACUCACCUCCAUCUCCGUCGCACAAAGGGGGAAGGCCGGGCGCGAGGGGUUCUGCCUCAAAUCGUCAUCGAAGGCGCGAUGGGUGCAAGGCGCGGAACAUGAGGAGGCCCGUCUGUUCACCAUCCUCGCCGAGCUUGUCAAGUGAUGAUUCUGAUUCAGACGGGAGCCCCGGCAAACCCCGGGCGCGCUCCAGAGCUGCCCACGCGACACAGAGCCGGCUCCACUCACGUACUCUGCCGCCCAUCGUCCACGCAGUUGUCCCAGCUCACCCGCCAAGGGUGCUGCCACCUUUGAUGGAGGAGGUGCUGCCAAAUACCCGCUAUGCUACGUCUGCGGCAACGCCGCUGGCACAGAGACUACAGAUGGCCCAGGCGACUGACGCCAUCCACCGCUGCGCGAGCCCGGCCGUCCCGCCACCACGCACAGAGCAGGGCACGGUCGACAAAGGAGUAGGCCAGUCCCACGGCACGGUUGACCCGACGCGGCGCGCGUACCAGAAGAUGCCCACAUCUCCGCUGCAGGUGAACCGUUUCUGUGACUUGGUGACCCCGUCUGUCGCGUCAUCUGGCCCCGUCUGCACGUCGUCACAGGCUGACGACAGCAACAAGGGGGGCGCGUCUCCACAGCAGCAGUCUCACAAGACGGGGGAGCCGACACCAUCACCGGCAACGGAGCCGCUGGACUUGGACUACAUUACAGAGCACGUGCUAAGGGUCAUUCAGAACCGUUUGGCCGGCAAAGACAACGCGCGCGAGGACGCCGCUGCGACAGCGUUGCGCAAGCGCGAGGCAGUGGGGCGCGAGCGUGCUGGUCAGGAGGAGGUAAGAGAGGCCGCGAAGCGGGCAGCUGAGCAAGUGCGGCUGCGUGAUCUUCUCCGAGAGGCCCAGCAAGAGGCACGUCAGGCGCGAGAGGAACAGCUAUCCUUGACCAGUCUAACGGACUUUCUGCGGCUUGCGCUCGCACAGGUCACCCGUCUCAUGGAACAUGGCGACGGCGCCGGCGAUGACACGGUGCGGCUUGGUCUAACGCACGAGUCCACACAUAAAGGUGGCAACCCAUCAACGGUGGUUGGGACGCUGAACUCGAACACACUAGUUUACGGUGCUGCUGGGAACCAUGCAAUGACGCCGCCGGGUGCAGGCGCUAGUGCUGCUACUGGAAGUGACGCCGGAGAUACGGGCGUAGCUGUUGAGAGCGGCCACCCAUCUUCUUUGCCCGAUUCGACCCUGGAUGCGGCGACGCUGCAGCGGCUGAUUACAGAGCUGCGCCGACGACGUCACAGCCGCCAACUCAAGCUACGCCUCCAGCGGCAGAGGGCUGAGGAGGCGGAGGAAAAGCGGCUGAGGGAGGAGGCGGAGGCCAAGGCGUUGGAGGCAGCUCAGCAACAGCACAAGCAAGAGCUCGACGAGCUUGUCGCCAAUGAGCAUCAGGCCCGUGUCAGCUUGCGCAGAGCUGAGGAAGAGGCGUUGGACGAGGUGCUUGUCAGUGCUGCGUCGGCUCUGGAGGAGGCCAUCGGUAGGAUGAUGGCGGCCCAGCUCAGCGCCCGCAUGCUACUGUGCGAGGAUGAGUUCAACAAGCGCACGGAGAUUGUCGCCACCGAAGAGGAGGAGGCAGCCGACUUCUGGCAUUUUGCCGCGGAUCUUUGGCAGGCCGCCGAAGACGCGGAGGCGGAAAGGCUGCAGGCGGAGGCUGGGCGCAUGGUGGCGGAAGCCGUGACCGCGAAGAUUUGCAAGGGCCGCGAGGAGUUAGGCCAGCGCAGCAGCGGCACUCAGUCCACUGCUGGCGUAGAGAAGAUUGUGCUGUCGAACCUCAUUCCUGGCCAGCUGCUCGGCAUCGAGGGAGGCAAGUCCAUCGAAAACGGCGGCAAGAUCCGCCUUAUCGGCGAUCCGUGCGUCGAAGCCGUCGAGGCGCAUGCGCGGGAGCGCCGCCGCCUCGAUCGCCUGCGCCAGCAGCGGCUUGUCUCUGCUUUGCCAUCGCGCCCUGAGACGAACAAAGCCAACGACGCGGGUGGCAGCCGUCUUUCCAGCCGUCAGCCCUCGACGGUGCGCAUGGGGUUCACCGGAGGUGCCGUCAGCGCGCUGAAGCCUUACAGUGGAGCAUCGUCGCACAAUUUUCCAGUGUUGUCGCCGGCCCGGCUUUCAUCGGACGGGAGCACUCGAGUUGACGAGCGGUCGCCAAGCCGAAGCCGCCUGCCUAGUCAGUCGACCUUUGUGUUGGACGGCGAUGCCAACUUGCAAGUCUACGGACGCCAAGUUGGAAUCCUGUCAAAGAUGCGCGGCCGCGCCUCCCUGCCCGCUUCCGCGCGAGGCACCCCCGUGAAGGGCGGCGCUGACAUUGCCGCCAGGCCAUACAAUAAGCGGCUUGACGAGGGGCUGCUAUUGAUGGACAUGUACGCUUCGCAGGUCGAGCACUAGACGACGCAAAACUGCGCGUGCACCGUCAGCCCCCCCGAAACGCACUGCCGUUCUUGCGACUCCCUCAUUCUUUCAAGUUUUCGCAACAUGCAUGGAUUGGGCAGUCGGCCUGCUCUCCCUUCCACCAUGCUUCCUUUUUCACCGGAUGUAUAGUCGCGUACUGGGCAAUGUGGCUCUGUUGCUGUUCUGUUUUUCUUUAUUCUCUUGCCCUCACCCCCCCCCCCCCAAUGACGAGGGGACAACGCCCCGCAGGGCGUGGCGUCUCAGUGUGCAGCGCAGCAGCCCCACCUAUCCCUGCCAGUGCUCAACCGCUUCUCGUGGCGGCAGGGCGUGAGGUCCUGGACGGCGUUGCGUGGGGGAGGGGCGACCUGCCAGGGCGAACACGCUUCUGCGAUCGAUAUGGUGGGCAGAGCGUCGGCGUGACUCGAGCGUCUCCCACCCCCGGCCCUCACACUGUCUACUGGCGUGGGGGUGCCUGAGUGCCACCCGCGAGGAGGAUGCACGACGUGGCGACCUGCCUGAUGGGGGAGCGGCUGUGAGGCGACAUGCGAGGCGGCGGAUUUGUAGAGUCUGGGGCAGAGGCCGUGCUGCGAUGACUGGGUCCGCAUCGCUGUAACGCGCGUGUCUAGGGCUGCUGCGCGCGACGUGAUGGGCGCCUGUGGGGCAGGCCGUGUGGUGGUGGUGGUGGUGUCGAGGGGAGCACUGACCUCAUGCUGUAUGGCAGAGAAGGAACAGGUUGGAAAGCGAGACAAUAUGCUUAGAUGUGCCUGUGCGGUGAGAGAUGGAUCAUUACCACCAUCAUAAUUGUCGUCUUUACACCUGGUCGAGAUUGAAUACUUUUCUCUCCAUGUUUAUAUGUUUUUGUGGCAAAGAGAGAAUCCGACGAGAGAGAAGAGAGCACGUUCACUUUCUUCUCUGGGGCGCGGUCGGAUCAGGCACGACACACCGCUCUUGUGCUUCUUCUGCGCUCCCCCCUCCAAAUCGAUGAUGCCGCUCUUCGAGCGGCGGAAAGGAGGGGGGGGUGGGGGAAAAGCGGACAAGAAGCGACGAGGAUGGUGAAACGUGCAGCGGCAAAGAGAGAUUUGCGGAGUCUGCUGUGCACGUGUCAGUGCAAAUUCAACUGUGAAGAGACGAGGCAAAGACGAAAAAAGUACCAAGACACUUUCGAAUUGGUCUGCUUAACAUUGGGUGAACGUGGACCGUGCUCCCCCCACACGCGCAGUAGCUUAGUCGUCAGCGGACAGAGCCCAGCAAGGUUGCACAGGUCGUUCUUUCUUGACGUCGUUGUCUCUCGCUUCGCGUGUGUGCUAGAGGCAUUUUCCUCUCGUCUUUGCGUUGUGCGAGUGUCGUGGUGAUACCCUUGCUCCACGCCUUUUUCUUCCGUGCAUGCCUGCUGCAUGGGUUUGUACGCGUCUUGACUCUGCUCUUCUCGGUAGCACUCUGAAAGGCGUUGGCUGUCCUUGCCGCGCCGCCCAUCAGCUGAUUGGUUAUAUUCAUCACUGAAUGAACCGCUCCCUCGCCCCCCUUUUUCGCCGUUCCCGUGCAUCUUCCUCUUGUGGCCACGCCGCAUUCCCACCAUCCACGACACCCCCCUUGCGCAAUAUUGCGUGCUGCUUCACGGACACCUGCCCCGCCCACAUACACACAAUCGCCCAUGGAUGCACAAG
Molecule: unclassified non-coding RNA, 6359 nt
Filed under: Leishmania donovani
Lineage: Eukaryota; Euglenozoa; Kinetoplastea; Trypanosomatida; Trypanosomatidae
Description: gene:LdHU3.11.1170(CDS-product:hypothetical_prote in_conserved)
Source: RNAcentral